UGGGGAAUAUUGCACAAUGGGCGCAAGCCUGAUGCAGCCAUGCCGCGUGUAUGAAGAAGGCCUUCGGGUUGUAAAGUACUUUCAGCGGGGAGGAAGGUGUUGAGGCUAAUAACCUCAGCACUUGACGUUACCCGCAGAAGAAGCACCGGCUAACUCCGUGCCAGCAGCCGCGGUAAUACGGAGGGUGCAAGCGUUAAUCGGAAUUACUGGGCGUAAAGCGCACGCAGGCGGUCUGUCAAGUCGGAUGUGAAAUCCCCGGGCUCAACCUGGGAACUGCAUUCGAAACUGGCAGGCUAGAGUAUUGUAGAGGGGGGUAGAAUUCCAGGUGUAGCGGUGAAAUGCGUAGAGAUCGGAAGGAAUACCGGUGGCGAAGGCGGCCCCCUGGACAAAGACUGACACUCAGGUGCGAAAGCGUGGGGAGCAAACA
Molecule: ribosomal RNA, 427 nt
Filed under: uncultured bacterium
Lineage: Bacteria
Description: partial 16S ribosomal RNA
Rfam family: Bacterial small subunit ribosomal RNA
Source: RNAcentral